RNAcentral lists this ribosomal RNA (498 nucleotides) under uncultured Cloacibacterium sp. RNAcentral's name for it is "bacterial SSU rRNA". It matches the Rfam family "Bacterial small subunit ribosomal RNA", at positions 9 to 507 of the family's 1533-position model. Lineage: Bacteria; Pseudomonadati; Bacteroidota; Flavobacteriia; Flavobacteriales; Weeksellaceae. The record is from RNAcentral.
GAGUUUGAUCCUGGCUCAGGAUGAACGCUAGCGGGAGGCCUAACACAUGCAAGCCGAGCGGUAUUGUUUCUUCGGAAAUGAGAGAGCGGCGUACGGGUGCGGAACACGUGUGCAACCUGCCUUUAUCUGGGGGAUAGCCUUUCGAAAGGAAGAUUAAUACUCCAUAAUAUAUUGAACGGCAUCGUUUGAUAUUGAAAGCUCCGGCGGAUAGAGAUGGGCACGCGCAAGAUUAGCUAGUUGGUGAGGUAACGGCUCACCAAGGCGAUGAUCUUUAGGGGGCCUGAGAGGGUGAUCCCCCACACUGGUACUGAGACACGGACCAGACUCCUACGGGAGGCAGCAGCGAGGAAUAUUGGUCAAUGGGUGCAAGCCUGAACCAGCCAUCCCGCGUGAAGGACGACUGCCCUAUGGGUUGUAAACUUCUUUUGUAUAGGGAUAAACCUACCCUCGUGAGGGUAGCUGAAGGUACUAUACGAAUAAGCACCGGCUAACUCCGUG